Molecule: RNA transcript, 1717 nt
Organism: Aphis gossypii (cotton aphid)
Lineage: Eukaryota; Metazoa; Arthropoda; Insecta; Hemiptera; Aphididae
Exons: 5
Source: RefSeq, a predicted model, not a curated record
UUUAUAAAUAUAAUCAACUUUAUCAGUAUUCAGUGUUAAUGAUUGUUGAUUGUAAAAAAUAAUAAAUGAAAAAUUGGCAAUUGAAUUGUUUACCGUUAACAUUCUUGCUUGAAAUCGUACGACAUGGAAUGACGAAUCACAUUCGUUUUAACGUGUACAUCUCUAUGGGACUAAUUCACUGUGAUCACGAUUGUAGAUAGAACACUGGACGACGUCAGAUUGAUGGCGGUAUUUAAUCAGUAGCAGGUCUUUGCUGAAAACCAAUAAACAUGAAAGGAUCGUUUGUGUUUAAAUUGAUACCAUUCAGUAAGUUACGCGAAAAGAUGGCCAAAAUUUCCAAUAGUGUGUCAGAAAAUCGCAACCAUAUCCGUUUGAUAGCUGAGUCCAUAGCCUAUUGUGUGGUGACCGGCGGUCUAGGAUGGCUGGCAUACGAGUUUCAUGAAACUGUCUUGACCAUUGAACGUUGCGUACAAAAAGAUCCAAUGCUGUUGAACAACAAAUCACCAGAAUAUAUAUUUGCUGACAAAACUACAUUCACUGGUUGAUGAAUGGUAUCAUCGAGUACGACCAAAAGCUAACAUCACUUCCAACGUUUUUAUUGAUUCGUCACAUUUCACCGAAAAUUAUUUAUUGGAACAUAAGUUUUAUUAUCGUAUUGAUUUAUUAUGUUGCGAUUACAUCAGUAUUAUUAUAUUUGUGGCCACCGAAGACUAUUGACGUCUUUAUUGCUGUUUUUUUUAUUCGAUUAGAAUUUAUUGUAAAUGUUUCAAUUAUGUUUUUCACAUAUUUUUUCCUACAACAAUUGGAGUAUCGAUUUCAAGUAUUGAAUAAUGCAUGGAUACAUCUUCUACCUAGAUUUCUCUCCAAUUCUGGUGACUCUACACAUUUUAUUAUAGGAAUGACGCUAGAUAAAAUACGGUUGUUACACGCCGAACUAUCAGACCUAUUAAUAAUAUUCAGUGACGGUUUCGGAAAAAUGCUAUUAGGAUACUAUAUAUUCUGUUAUUAUGAUAUGAUACUUAGUUUUACUUGUAAUUUUUUUCUUUUCGAUCAACCGGAUAUCAUAGCACAAAUUUUACCGUACAUAUUCAGCGUACAAAAUAUCAUAUUUAUUUUAUCCAUUCUCAUAGCUGCAUCAAAUGUUCAUGAAAAGAAACGGAAGAUGAUAUCAAAUUUACGAUUAAUAAGGAUUUCAAAUUUAUCAGCCAACCUAAAAGUACAAAUUGGUUUAUACAGUUUUCAACAUCAUUUCUAAAUGUUUGUAAUAGGUUAAAUUAUUUAUGAACCAAAUAAUAGUUCUUGAAUCAAGCGAAAUCACAGCUUUUGGAAUUUUCAGUAUAAAUUUAAACUUUGUUGUAUCAAUACUAGUGUUACUUAUUACUGGUUUAACAACAAUGAUGCAAAUGAAGGAACAUCCAAUUAUGUUAGAAGUUAGACAAAAUUUCAAACAUUUUUUGAAGAAUGUAACUGAUGUAAAAUAACAAUUGAACUUCACUUCACUUCACCCAGAAAAGAUGAUUACUAUAGAUAAUGUCAAUUUAUUCUUGACAGAAGAUAUGAUAAGAGAAUUUAAAAAAUACCUUCCAAAACUUCAAAGAUGAGUCAUAUUGUAGUUUAAUAACCUGAACUUAUAACAAUGUUGUCGAUAAAAUAUUAAUUGAAAAUAAUCUCUUAAAAACAAGAAUUAACUUACUUGAAAUAAAAAUGAAAUAUGGAA